This 497-nucleotide ribosomal RNA is filed under the name uncultured bacterium. RNAcentral's name for it is "partial 16S ribosomal RNA". It matches the Rfam family "Bacterial small subunit ribosomal RNA", at positions 28 to 507 of the family's 1533-position model. The record is from RNAcentral.
GAUGAACGCUGGCGGCGUGCCUAAUACAUGCAAGUCGAGCGAACAGACGAGGAGCUUGCUCCUCUGACGUUAGCGGCGGACGGGUGAGUAACACGUGGAUAACCUACCUAUAAGACUGGGAUAACUUCGGGAAACCGGAGCUAAUACCGGAUAAUAUAUUGAACCGCAUGGUUCAAUAGUGAAAGACGGUUUUGCUGUCACUUAUAGAUGGAUCCGCGCCGCAUUAGCUAGUUGGUAAGGUAACGGCUUACCAAGGCAACGAUGCGUAGCCGACCUGAGAGGGUGAUCGGCCACACUGGAACUGAGACACGGUCCAGACCCCUACGGGAGGCAGCAGUAGGGAAUCUUCCGCAAUGGGCGAAAGCCUGACGGAGCAACGCCGCGUGAGUGAUGAAGGUCUUCAGAUCGUAAAACUCUGUUAUUAGGGAAGAACAAAUGUGUAAGUAACUAUGCACGUCUUGACGGUACCUAAUCAGAAAGCCACGGCUAACUACGUG